This 1022-nucleotide long non-coding RNA is filed under the name Laticauda laticaudata (blue-ringed sea krait). RNAcentral's name for it is "lncRNA (ENSLLTG00000004409.1)". The record is from RNAcentral. Lineage: Eukaryota; Metazoa; Chordata; Lepidosauria; Squamata; Elapidae.
CGGGAGUUAGGACUGCUAAAAUAGGAACUGUCACUAGGUGGCACCAGUCGCCCUAGCGUCGAGAGUGAGGCUGCUCACCGCUCUUCUUCGCAUCUAUGAGCUAAGAGAGCUUUGUCCGGCAAGGGAAAACAGACAUGAUCCGGAAGAUAUCGCUGCGAAUCACCGCCCCUUCCGCUGAACCUUUCCGUUUGUCUCCUUAGCACGAACUGCAAGGACUUCGGUGUCGAGGAAGAGCAAGCAACAAGAAUUCCCUUCUCGGGAAGGGUGCCACGACUGAGCAGACCCUGCUUGAGUAAUCACCAGUUUAUUUGUUUGGUAAGUAGACUUGAAACUGGCUCUCAGAAAAAUAACCCAAAUUCUAUAGGUGGCUUUACAGGUAGGCAGUCAAUUGUCAAGAAAGGAUUAGUGUGACCCUUUCUUCAUCAAUUUAUAUUAUUAGUGAAAUGCUGUUAAGUUGUGUACUUCUAUAAUCAUGUGGACAAAGGCUCACCGUUGUUGAUCACUACAACUCAUAGUUCUUCCAAAGACAUUCCAGUAAACCCUUUGUUCCUCCUAUCCAUGCUUUACCCAAGGUAUCCCCCUUCUAUGUUUUUUUUAAAUUCUUGUACUGUCAAUUAGUUGAGAGUUUGCAGGAUGGACACAGGAGGAGGAGGGUAUUAAAGGAGAUGCCAGGACACAAACAAACAGCAUCAUGCUUAUUUAAAUUGACACCAUUAAUUACUUAUAACUUCAGGGUCACUCAUCCAUAACUGACAAUGGGGUUGAUUUCAUGGGCAAGUUUUAUAGCCCUCUCUUUCCCUCUUCAUUCUCAGAGUUACUUACUUUAGGCAUCAGCAAAGGUUAGGAUAAGAAAAUCUUGGUGCAAUAACACAAGCAAACAUACUCUCAACCUUGCAAGGCUGUCAAGCAAGAGAGGAUUUUUUAAUACCAUUCAGAAUGUAAGAGGAAAAGCAGAAUUAAAAAACAGAUCUUUACAAUAUUUCUUUAUUAUUUUGAUUUCUCCCUUUCUCUUUCUCAGAUUU